Python bivittatus (Burmese python) is the source of this 310-nucleotide long non-coding RNA. RefSeq lists it as uncharacterized. The record is from RefSeq and is a predicted model, not a curated record. NCBI's taxonomy places the organism in Eukaryota, Metazoa, Chordata, Lepidosauria, Squamata, Pythonidae.
UACUGUAAAACAGCCCUCUGCUGGAAAAGCGUUGAAGAUAUUUAAGGAUUGCCUGAAAGCUGUAUAAUUCUUGUUUUGGCUGUGUUUGGAAAGGUGGAAGUAAAGCAACAUGAAGAUCUCCAGGAAAGUGCUGAAGCCCCUGAGUGGAAGCAGAAAACACCCACAUGACCUCUUCCCCUUUUUGAAGGCCACCACACUUAUCUAGAGUGCCACAAAGCAUAAAAUGGAGGAAGAGACCCAGAAGACCCUGAGGGACAGCUUGGGACGUCAGCAGCACCCAGGACCUCAGAGGUGCUUGCAGCAGCACCUG